This 1039-nucleotide ribosomal RNA is filed under the name Mesonia algae. RNAcentral describes it as "bacterial SSU rRNA". It matches the Rfam family "Bacterial small subunit ribosomal RNA", at positions 382 to 1422 of the family's 1533-position model. The record is from RNAcentral. Lineage: Bacteria; Pseudomonadati; Bacteroidota; Flavobacteriia; Flavobacteriales; Flavobacteriaceae.
UCUGAUCCAGCCAUGCCGCGUGCAGGAAGACUGCCCUAUGGGUUGUAAACUGCUUUUAUAGAGGAAGAAACCUCCCUUCGUGAAGGGAAUUGACGGUACUCUACGAAUAAGGAUCGGCUAACUCCGUGCCAGCAGCCGCGGUAAUACGGAGGAUCCAAGCGUUAUCCGGAAUCAUUGGGUUUAAAGGGUCCGUAGGCGGACUAAUAAGUCAGUGGUGAAAGUCUGCAGCUCAACUGUAGAAUUGCCAUUGAUACUGUUAGUCUUGAGUCAUUAUGAAGUGGUUAGAAUGAGUGGUGUAGCGGUGAAAUGCAUAGAUAUCACUCAGAAUACCGAUUGCGAAGGCAGAUCACUAAUAAUGUACUGACGCUGAUGGACGAAAGCGUAGGUAGCGAACAGGAUUAGAUACCCUGGUAGUCUACGCCGUAAACGAUGGUUACUAGCUGUUUGGUCGAUUGAGACUGAGUGGCUAAGCGAAAGUGAUAAGUAACCCACCUGGGGAGUACGUUCGCAAGAAUGAAACUCAAAGGAAUUGACGGGGGCCCGCACAAGCGGUGGAGCAUGUGGUUUAAUUCGAUGAUACGCGAGGAACCUUACCAGGGCUUAAAUGUAGUCUGACAGAUUUGGAAACAGAUUUUUCUUCGGACAGAUUACAAGGUGCUGCAUGGUUGUCGUCAGCUCGUGCCGUGAGGUGUCAGGUUAAGUCCUAUAACGAGCGCAACCCCUGUGGUUAGUUGCCAGCGAGUCAAGUCGGGAACUCUAGCCAGACUGCCGGUGCAAACCGUGAGGAAGGUGGGGAUGACGUCAAAUCAUCACGGCCCUUACGUCCUGGGCCACACACGUGCUACAAUGGUAGGGACAGAGAGCAGCCACUUCGCGAGAAGGAGCGAAUCUUCAAACCCUAUCACAGUUCGGAUCGCAGUCUGCAACUCGACUGCGUGAAGCUGGAAUCGCUAGUAAUCGGAUAUCAGCCAUGAUCCGGUGAAUACGUUCCCGGGCCUUGUACACACCGCCCGUCAAGCCAUGGAAGCUGGGGGUACCU